UGUAGGAGCUGGCUUGCCUGCGAUGCAGACGCCGCGGUGCUCCAGAAACACCGCGGCGAUGCCGUCGCAGGCAAGCCAGCUCCCACA
RNAcentral lists this unclassified non-coding RNA (87 nucleotides) under Pseudomonas yamanorum. The record is from RNAcentral. Lineage: Bacteria; Pseudomonadati; Pseudomonadota; Gammaproteobacteria; Pseudomonadales; Pseudomonadaceae.